This 468-nucleotide ribosomal RNA is filed under the name uncultured bacterium. RNAcentral describes it as "partial 16S ribosomal RNA". It matches the Rfam family "Bacterial small subunit ribosomal RNA", at positions 28 to 507 of the family's 1533-position model. The record is from RNAcentral.
GACGAACGCUGGCGGCGUGCUUAACACAUGCAAGUCGAACGGAAAAGCCCUGCUUUUGUGGGGUGUCCGAGUGGCGAACGGGUGUGUAACCCGUGAGUCUCCUGCCCUUGACUUUGGGAUAACUUCAGGCAACUGGGGCUAAUACCGGAUAGGUGCUCCUGCUGCAUGGUGGGGGUUGGAACGUUUCGGAGGUUGGGGAUGGACUCCCGGCUUAUCAGCUUGUUGGUGGGGUAGUGGCUUACCAAGGCUUUGACGGGUAGCCGGCCUGAGAGGUUGACCGGCCACAUUGGGACUGAGAUACGGCCCAGACGCCUACGUGAGGCAGCAGUGGGGAAUAUUGUACAAUGGGCGGAAGCCUGAUGCAGCAACGCCGCGUUCGUGAUGACGGCCUUCGGGUUGUAAACCGCUUUCGCCUGUGACGAAGCGUGAGUGACGGUAAUGGGUAAAGAAGCACCGGCUAACUACGUG